This 505-nucleotide ribosomal RNA is filed under the name uncultured bacterium. RNAcentral describes it as "partial 16S ribosomal RNA". It matches the Rfam family "Bacterial small subunit ribosomal RNA", at positions 28 to 507 of the family's 1533-position model. The record is from RNAcentral.
GACGAACGCUGGCGGCGUGCCUAAUACAUGCAAGUAGAACGCACAGUUUAUACCGUAGCUUGCUACACCAUAGACUGUGAGUUGCGAACGGGUGAGUAACGCGUAGGUAACCUGCCUGGUAGCGGGGGAUAACUAUUGGAAAUGAUAGCUAAUACCGCAUAAUAUUAAUUAUUGCAUGAUAAUUAAUUGAAAGGUGCAAUUGCACCACUACCAGAUGGACCUGCGUUGUAUUAGCUAGUAGGUGAGGUAACGGCUCACCUAGGCGACGAUACAUAGCCGACCUGAGAGGGUGAUCGGCCACACUGGGACUGAGACACGGCCCAGACUCCUACGGGAGGCAGCAGUAGGGAAUCUUCGGCAAUGGACGAAAGUCUGACCGAGCAACGCCGCGUGAGUGAAGAAGGUUUUCGGAUCGUAAAGCUCUGUUGUAAGAGAAGAACGGGUGUGAGAGUGGAAAGUUCACACUGUGACGGUAUCUUACCAGAAAGGGACGGCUAACUACGUG